UUACUAUGUUUACCAAAAAAU
This 21-nucleotide non-coding RNA is filed under the name Caenorhabditis elegans. Lineage: Eukaryota; Metazoa; Nematoda; Chromadorea; Rhabditida; Rhabditidae. The record is from RNAcentral.